RNAcentral lists this ribosomal RNA (253 nucleotides) under uncultured bacterium. Its description in RNAcentral is "partial 16S ribosomal RNA". It matches the Rfam family "Bacterial small subunit ribosomal RNA", at positions 524 to 776 of the family's 1533-position model. The record is from RNAcentral.
UACAGAGGUCCCAAGCGUUGUUCGGAUUCAUUGGGCGUAAAGGGUGCGUAGGUGGCGUCGUAAGUCGGGUGUGAAAUCUCGGGGCUUAACUCCGAAACUGCAUUCGAUACUGCCGUGCUUGAGGACUGGAGAGGAGACUGGAAUUUACGGUGUAGCGGUGAAAUGCGUAGAUAUCGUAAGGAAGACCAGUGGCGAAGGCGGGUCUCUGGACAGUUCCUGACGCUGAGGCACGAAGGUCAGGGGAGCAAACGGG